Molecule: unclassified non-coding RNA, 229 nt
Filed under: plant metagenome
Description: partial contains small subunit ribosomal RNA, internal transcribed spacer 1, and 5.8S ribosomal RNA
Source: RNAcentral
UCUCCGUAGGUGAACCUGCGGAGGGAUCAUUACAGAGUUCAUGCCCUACCGGGUAGAUCUCCCACCCUAUGUUAUUAUUACUUUGUUGCUUUGGCGGGCCGUUAGGCUCCGGCCCGACUACCGGCCCCGGCUGGUAAGCGCCCGCCAGAGGACCCAAAACCCUGAAUAUUAGUGUUGUCUGAGUACUAUAUAAUAGUUAAAACUUUCAACAACGGAUCUCUUGGUUCUG